Molecule: ribosomal RNA, 501 nt
Filed under: uncultured bacterium
Lineage: Bacteria
Description: bacterial SSU rRNA
Rfam family: Bacterial small subunit ribosomal RNA
Source: RNAcentral
ACGAACGCUGGCGGCGUGCUUAACACAUGCAAGUCGAACGGACUAAGUUGAUAGCUUGCUAUUGAUGAGGUUAGUGGCAAACGGGUGAGUAACGCGUAGGCAACCUGCCCUUCAGAUGGGGACAACACCUCGAAAGGGGUGCUAAUACCGAAUGACGUUGCGCUGUCGCAUGACGGUGCAACCAAAAGGCCGGGCAACCGGUCACUGAAGGAUGGGCCUGCGUCUGAUUAGCUAGUUGGUGGGGUAACGGCCCACCAAGGCGACGAUCAGUAGCCGGUCUGAGAGGAUGAACGGCCACAUUGGGACUGAGACACGGCCCAAACUCCUACGGGAGGCAGCAGUGGGGAAUCUUCCGCAAUGGGCGCAAGCCUGACGGAGCAACGCCGCGUGAGUGAAGAAGGUCUUCGGAUCGUAAAGCUCUGUUGAGAGGGACGAGAGAUAUAAUCAGGAAAUGGGUUAUAGAGGACGGUACCUUUCGAGGAAGCCACGGCUAACUACGUG